Molecule: long non-coding RNA, 762 nt
Organism: Drosophila subobscura
Lineage: Eukaryota; Metazoa; Arthropoda; Insecta; Diptera; Drosophilidae
Exons: 2
Source: RefSeq, a predicted model, not a curated record
UUGUGCGCGCUAUUUUUCAGAUUUUUCAAUGUUAUCACUUAAUAAACAUGUCUCUCUUAAUAAUUUACAUACAUUUACAUACUGUAGACAAAGUCUCGCACUCGCUGGCCCAUUGCGUGGGCGCUGACUUGGCCAUGGGCGCAGGCAUAGCUGUGAAGUUCAAGGAGGUCUACGGCAAGGUCGAUGAGCUGCGUGCCCAGAAGGCCAGUGGUGAUGUGGCUGUGCUCAAGGAUAAUGAUCGCUACAUUUACUAACUUUUUCUUUAAAUUUUUUUAAUUUUUUCGAAUGAGAAGCACUGUGGUGAAUACGUUACCUAUUAGUAAUUCUACCAUGGUCCUCUCCACAGCUGAAUACGUUACCUAUUAGUAAUUCCACCAUGAUUGCACGCAUAACAGCACUUUUUGUUUCUUUCUCUUUUCGCGCUUAACAGCUCAAUUUAUUUUGUUUUAUGUCAAAACAAACUAUUUCGGGCCAAAGAACCAUACAUUUUUCAUAUUUGCGAAUUCAGAAAAGCGGCACAAGGUGGUUCGUUAGCAAUGGACGAAAUGUGCAGAGUUUGCAAGGGAACGUCUAAAUCAUUCACAAACAUAUUCGACGAGCCACAAAAACGGGACACUUGCAUGAUAGCUCAGUGCACCGGGUACGAGGUUAGCCGAGGAGAUUUACUAUCAGAAAAUAUAUGUCCGCCCUGCCUUGAGGAGGCAGUGAGUGCAUUCAAUCUUAAGACAACCUGUGAGCAGAGCCAUAAAUUGAUGGAGGAGU